AGCGAACGCUGGCGGCAGGCCUAACACAUGCAAGUCGAACGAACCUUUCGGGGUUAGUGGCGGACGGGUGAGUAACACGUGGGAACGUUCCUUUAGGUUCGGAAUAACUCAGGGAAACUUGUGCUAAUACCGAAUGUGCCCUUCGGGGGAAAGAUUAAUCGCCCUUAGAGCGGCCCGCGUCUGAUUAGCUAGUUGGUUGAGGUAAUGGCUCACCAAGGCGACGAUCAGUAGCUGGUCUGAGAGGAUGAUCAGCGACAUUGGGACUGGGACACGGCCCAGAAUCCUACGGGAGGCAGCAGUGGGUAAUCUUGCGAAAUGGGGGAAGGCCUGACGCAGCCAGGCCGCGUGAAUGAUGAAGGUCUUAGGAUUGUAAAAUUCUUUCACCGGGGACGAUAAUGACGGUACCCGGAGAAGAAGCCCCGGCUAACUUCGUG
Molecule: ribosomal RNA, 434 nt
Filed under: uncultured bacterium
Lineage: Bacteria
Description: partial 16S ribosomal RNA
Rfam family: Bacterial small subunit ribosomal RNA
Source: RNAcentral